Long non-coding RNA from Halichondria panicea, 4876 nucleotides. RefSeq lists it as uncharacterized. The record is from RefSeq and is a predicted model, not a curated record. NCBI's taxonomy places the organism in Eukaryota, Metazoa, Porifera, Demospongiae, Suberitida, Halichondriidae. The transcript has 3 exons.
UGAGGUCAGUCUCACACACACACAUAUAUACGCAUAUAUGCAUAUACGCAAUGUGUUGAACGAACAGGACAGGAGCCAAUGGAGUGCGAAACUCCAGGCAGGGGUUUGGGGAGCGAAACCAACCUAAGAAUACACUUAACAACGAUAAGGGAGCAGAGGCCAAACUCUGUGGGCGUGUUCUUUGUCACGCCCACUACCUUCCCACGUAGGUCACGUGACCACCAGACUUUCGCUGCCGAAGAUGCUGUUUCCUGCCAGAGCGUGGUGCUUCCUGUCAUGCCCACGAACACGCCCACCAAGUUUGGAUCACGUGACACCCGCGGCCCUGACAUCUGACAUCGGGACCACGCCCAUCUGAAAGGGGAUCUGUGCGUGGGCAAAGUUACGCUGUCCUGGUGUCACGUGUCGCCUAGUUACGCCGCACUCUGUCUCGGCCCGAAAAUGGCGGCGCCGCGGCCACAAGUCGAUAAGGGAGCAACAACGCCUAGAGGCUGUGGGCGUCGGGCGUUUUGUGUUCUUACAUGACCACCAGACUGUUUCCUGCCAGAGUGUGGGAGUGGUCGAGCCCAAAUCUUACUUUCGGCUUCCUGUCAUGCCGCCCACCGCCUAGAGAUUUGGUAUUCAGUUUCCCACAGACAUCUGUGUGCACUAGGUCACCAACAGGAAAAGGACGUUAGUGCAGGGCUCACAGAAACUGAUUUCCUACCACCGCCUAGAGAUUCCCACAGACAUCUGUGUGCACUAGGUCACCAACAGGAAAAGGACGUAAGUGCAGGAACUGAUUUCCUUCGAACCACCAUAGUCAAAACCACACUGUCAUGCCGCCCACCAAGUUUGGAUCACGUGACACCUUUGGAUCACGUGACACAGACUGACACAGACCGGGAACACGCCAAGUUGACGCUGGGGAGUGGCCCUGGACAUCGGGACCACGCCCAUCUGAAAGGGGAUCACGAAAUCUGUGCGUGGGCAAAGUUACGCUGUCCUGGUGUCACGUUUCACCUAGUUACGCCGCACUCUGUCUCGGUCCGAAAAUGGCGGCUUGCCGCGGCCACAGGGAGCAACAACGCCUAGAGGCCAAACUCUGUGGGCGUGUUCUUUGUCACGCCCACUACCUUCCCACGCAGGUCACGUGAUCACGUGACCACCAGACUUUCGCCGCUGUUUCCUCCCAGAGCGUGGGGUCUGACUUCCGGCUGCCCACGAACACGCCCACCAAGUUUGGAUCACGUGACACCCGCAAAAGACCGGAAACACGCCAAGUUCACGCUGGGGACCACGCCCAUCUGAAAGGAUCCUAUGCGUGGGACGCUGUCCUGGUGGCCCUGGUGGCCUAGUUAGGCGGCGAUUUCGUGCCGCGGCCACAAGUCCUAGAGGCCAAACUCUGUGGGCGUGUUCUUUGUCACGCCCACUACCUUCCCACGCACUUUCGCCGCUGUUUCCUCCCAGAGCGUGGGAGCUGACUUCCGGCUUCCUGUCAUGCCCACGAACACGCCCACCAAGUUUGGAUCACGUGACACCCGGGAACACGCCAAGUUCACGCAUUGGGACCACGCCCAUCUGUUCGUGGAUGGAGACACAACUCAGGGAGACCCACUUGCGAUGCCCUGUGAAUUAUAGCAGAACAGGGUGCAGUGUGAUGGUGAUAUAAUUAUAGCAGUCUGCAACUCUGGGGGGGGGACCUUGGUCUGCUCAGCCCACGUGGCUUUGCGCAUGUGCACUGGAUGCGAAUGAAUAUUUGGAGGUGGAGCUAGCUAGUUGGAGGUGGAGUUUUUAGUUGAUCGUAACCAGUAGAGAUAUUGGUAUUGAGCAAUAACCAGAUUUAUAGACUACAGUGCAUAAUCUCAUAAAAUUUUUCUUGGCUUAUAGUUAUCUACAGUCUUUCUACUACCUCUCUGCAAAAUCUGAUGCAACUCUUUCCACCAAAGCACUCUGUCUAAGCAGCCACCAUUACCUUACUUUUCCCAAUUUGGCAAUCUUUGAGUGGGCAUUUCUCAAUACCGCUGUUUUACAACUUCGAGUUUCCAACGCGCAUAACUCAGGCAUGGAACGGGGUAUGUGCAAACUAAGCACAUCAAUGCGUAGGCAAUUCUUUGCUCUAUCAUGUGGUAUAUAGAUUGCAAAAAUUAUAGCUUGCGCCCUUUUCCCAGAGCCUGUCACAAAUGGAAAGAAGAAAGAACUCUUUAUAGGCAGAGGCUCAUUUGGUGUUCGCUUGCAAAUGUACAGGGUCGCGAGCUACUUCCUCACACAGAUGUUGUCAAAGAAGCAGCGAUUCUUACACAAUUGUGUCAUCCAAACGUUCCGUUAUAUCGGCAAUACCAUGGAUUGCCAAACUCAUCUACGUCUGUAACACUUGCUAAGUACCUAACAACUGAAAAAUAUUCAUGCUCUGGAUCCGAUGAAUGUGUUGUCAUCUGCCUGUGUGCAGAGCUAGCUGAAGUACUUCACGAUGAAGUGAAGCUUAUACACAAUGAUCUAAAAUGUAGCAAUGUUUUGGUCUGUGACAGCUUGACUAGUUCACUUUCCAAAGGGAUGUCAACAGAUAAAGAUGUGCCGACGCCACCUAUGGCCAUGCGAGUUGAUUUGCAAGUGGUUGUUAGAAAGGCGACUACAUUCAAAAAUGCCCGCAAGUAUUCACUUAGUACUCGCCGGAAGUGAUUGAGGGUUUAACUACUCAAACGCCUAUGAGUGAUAUUUUCUCACUAGGUCACAUUUUCAAGGUCACAUUUUAUAUAAAAUUGCUUCACUGUAGUAUGUGAUUCUACGAAGAGCCAUCUCAAUACCGUUGCCACUAAUUGUCGAUCAUCACGAUGUGUAUGCUUGGCGCUGUAAUUACAGCUAAGCUAGCUAGCUGAUAGUCUGUUUUCCCAGAGCCUGUCACAUUUAUCAUCAGGAUGAAUUUCAUGUAGCUCACAUGUUUUGGAGCUACUUAAAAUUGAUACAGUAGCUGCCUUUUCUCUUCAGCAACACUAGUCCUCCUUCUUUCUAGUUCCCAACACCAACGUUCCCAGUAACUCCUGGACAUGUUCUUAUACACUAAACUUUCUUCUCUGCCUCGACUUUUAGACUAUGUUCUAAUUCUAGCUGAGUUUGAACAGCAGCUUGAAGUUGAGAACGCUUUCUCUUGACUCUUAGAUUCCUCAUUCUAUGUUUUUCAGCUUUAGUGUUCUUCCGGCUCUAGCUCUAGCUCUAUUCUCGUCGGCCAGAAGUCCACAAGACCAAAAUCCUGGUUAUGGUCUCAGAAUGAUGGUCUCAGAAUGAAUCAUUUUGACCCAUUCGACAGACCAACUCUCGAUCAACCAGAAAAUUGACAGGCUAACUAGCCUAAUACAAAAAGGAAACAAAGGAGUUGAAAGCCGAGUUCAAUGCCUUGAAAUGUGAAGUUGACCAUCAUAUAAAAGAUGUCCCUGAUAGCUCUUGUUCAAGCUCUACCCCGUCCUCUACACCUAGAAGGCAGUGUGUGGUUGUGUUUUAUUGUGGUUGUGUUUUAUAAUAUCUGGUAUGAACUGUUAUCGUUUCAGAUCGCUGUAAAAAAUCUUCAAGAUAAGUGUGAGGAAGAUAAGUGUGAGGAGGGUAUUAAAUUCGCUGGAAAUGAGCUGUAAGUUUAAAGAACUUUUUUUCACCCGUGUUUUCUAGUUAUAAUUCGGAAAGAAACAUGAUCACUCAGUUGUCAGAGAAGUUUUCAGGCACAAGGAAAAUCAAGCGCAAGUUAUCAAUAAUUAUGGAUGCAUGUUUGUCUACUUUCAAUGUACCCUGCUUCAAGUGGUCUUUUAAUUGUGUUUGUACGUUCAUAGUACAUAUUUCAUAUGUUUGUGUGUGCUGUCAAGAUGACUCAUCUUUCGACGGCAACCUGUCAAGAUGUCACAUCUUUUGACGGGGUUCAAACAGUGGGUUCAAACAGUGUUUGUGUGUGCGUGUUAACAUGUUUCAUAUGUUUAAUUUGUGUGUAUGUGUGUGUGUGUGUGUGUGUGCAUUAUUGCUGUCAAGAUGACUCAUCUUUCGACAGCAACCUGUCAAGAUGUCACAUCUUUUGACGGGGUUCAAACGGUGUGCGUGUUACAUGUUUCAUAUGUUUUUGUGUGUAUAUGUGUGUGCAUUGUAUAUGUGUGUGCAUUAUUGCUGUGCAUUAUUGCUGUCAAGAUGACUCAUCUUUUGACAGCAACCUGUCAAGAUGUCACAUCUUUUGACGGGGUUCAAACAGUGUAUGUGUGUGCGUGCCAUGUUUGUGUGCCAUGUUUGUGUGUAAGUGCAUUAUUGCUGUCAAGAUGAUCGACCCCAUCUUUUGACAAGUGUGUACGUGCUAUAUCGUGAUGUGUGUGCUAUAUGUUUGUGUGUAGAUGUCGUUUGUGUGUAGAUGUCACAUCUUUUGUGUGUGCGUGUUGUUAUGUGUGUGAUUACUGUCAAGAUUUCAUAUCUUUUAACAGGGUUCACAUGUGUGCGUGUUCUUAUGUACUGUCAAGAUGAGUCGUCUAUUUGCCGGUGCUUUGCCGGUGCUGUGCAUCGCUACUAUGAGAGCCGGAGAAGACUUCACUUCACAAUGAUUCCAAACAUCAAGGGUGCAGAUUUUAAACAUGCAAGCAAGGGAAUUGAGAAAGAAGGACAGUGACUGGGAUCAUAGCUACUACCUCAAGCUAGAAGCCUGAAGAACCUGGUGAAGAAGCUCUUGGGAUGGACUAAGUUCCUGGAUCUGGUGAAGAAAACAUUUCCCGGGAAAAUGGCGUCUGCCGAUGUGACCUCCCUCACAGACAAGUUUCUGCUGAUCCUGCUUGAACCAUGUCUCCGUGAGAACAUUGAGAACACUUAUUCAGUGUCUUUAUUCAGUGUCUUUAGUCACUUUGUGCCUUCAUACAAUAUUGUUUGUGUACAUAAUUGUAAA